RNAcentral lists this ribosomal RNA (315 nucleotides) under uncultured eukaryote. Its description in RNAcentral is "partial 18S ribosomal RNA". It matches the Rfam family "Eukaryotic small subunit ribosomal RNA", at positions 1470 to 1796 of the family's 1831-position model. The record is from RNAcentral.
CCCUUAGACGUUCUGGGCCGCACGCGCGCUACACUGACCAGUGCAACAAGCAUCCGUCCUUGGCCGACAGGCCCGGGCAAUCUUUGAACGCUGGUCGUGAUGGGGAUAGACUUUUGCAAUUUUUGGUCUUCAACGAGGAAUUCCUAGUAAACGCAAGUCAUCAACUUGCAUUGAUUACGUCCCUGCCCUUUGUACACACCGCCCGUCGCACCUACCGAUUGAAUGGUCCGGGGAAGCCUCCGGAUUGGCGCGCACCUCGGUGCCGCCGAGAAGUUGGCUAAACCUUACCAUUUAGAGGAAGGUGAANUCGUANCA